GACGCGUUCCACAUUUACAAGUGAGGGUCACAGGUCUUUCAAAAGAGGCCUUAGCAGAUGUCCACACGAUCUAAAAAGCCCUCAUUACUUUGGCCCGGAGUGUCAUGUAUAUAGAUUUGUUUUUGUGGCACUUUGCCUACAGCUGGUGACGUCUCGACGGAAGUAAAACGUCCUCAACUGGACGAAAAAGAAAAGAAACGCCUUUAACUUUUAAGUAUAUUUUCUCUUUUGUGUUUGCUGCUUUAUAUAAUCCAUGGAUCUGUUGUUGGUCUUCGACCCCCCUACCAGUCGAUACUGCCAAUAUCAAGUGUUGUACGUACGUGUACGUCGUUCCCGCCUUCGAUUGAUCACGCGCUGCUGUAGUUAGCAGACGAUAGCUGUUGAAGCAUCAUGGCGGACACUUGAAGCAAAAUAUAUGAUGUUCAAAACACAAAGAUGAGCCGGUGGCAGAAGAAAUUUAUUUUUGGAUUAUUUGCUUUCUUUCAACUUUGUGUUGCAGCUCAUGCCAUAGAUUGUUAUAAAUGUUCCUCCGAAAACUUCACGGACCCAUUCUGCCACGACCCUUUCCAUCCUGCCUACAAUAACCUGACCACGGACUGUGGGGAGGGGCGGAAUGGCCGGGUGGGCCUUUUCCCAGCAAGGUUUUGCACCAAGAUCAUAGGUAAAAAUUCGGUGGACGGUACCGAAAAAAUCAUUCGUUCAUGCUCUAUUGAAUCUCUAGAUACAAUAUGUGGUCCAUUCAAUUUAGAAAACGUAUUAUAUUCCGGAUGCAUUUCCUCUUGUGCGACGGACGCCUGUAAUCCCGGACGAAGACUACAAGCGGAUGCCACGACCUACAUCAUCCCUGCAAUGAUUUGUACAAUAAUCAUUAUGUUUAGAAUGUGAAUGCAGAAUUGAUGUGUUCUUGUCACGACAAUCCUCUGUGCCCUGCCGCUACACGGCAUCUGAAUUAAACCGAAAUAGCGUGACGCCUUUUUUCUAAUUACAUGUGAAGGAAGUGGUUUAUUUUUUUUUUCCAAUUUGGAAAAUGCAAUAACUACAUAUGUGUAAACAUUACAUUUUCAAUAAUUAUAUUUCUAUUCAUCAAAACCCAAUGAAGAAAACGAACAGACGUUUCUGAAUGAUGUAAUCAUUCUUUAUAUUAGUUAUAAGUUGUUUGAAAUGUUUUAAUUACAUACUUUGUGAUGAGUAUAGGCAACUUGCACAUGGGCGAUACUAGUUACGUCAUAAGUCAUGUCACAUGCCUGCUCGGUCAAUAUCCAUUAUGUAAACAUGGCUAAAGUCACGCAUGACGAAUCCGUUACACACAACUUGCAGAAAAUUUGCUUUUGAAGCUCCAGCAUUAAUCAUAUACAAUGUAUUUGAAUUUUAAAAGAACAGGUUUAUGUUUACAUUGAAUAUGUAUGUUUUCAGUUUAAACAGAUUAAUUUCUUAGAUAAAUGGUUAAAUGAUAAUAUUUCUUUCUGUGUAUUUUUGUGUGUGUGUAAAUUACUAAGUAUAAAUGAUUAUGAUAAGCUCAACACUUUUCUCAUGUUACACCAACAUCAACCCUCGGCCAUAUCAGCCCUGCGCUAAUUAUAGUCCCCACCAAUAUCAUCCCUCGGCCACUAACAGGCUUCCGCCAAUUAUACCCCCCCCCCCUAUCAUCCCUCGGCCAAUAACAGGCCUCCGCCAAUAUCGGCCAUCGACUAAUAUCAGUCCUCCACCAAUAUCUGCCAUCGACUAAUAUCAGUCCUCCACCAAUAUCUGUCAUCCAUUAAUAUCAGUCCUUUGGGUUUGGUAUUUGGUUUUGAGAUGGAAUGUAAUAUUGAAAAAAGUGUAGAUUCUAUGUACAUAAUUAUCAUUCUUUACACAGAACAAAAAAUCAGUUUUUCAUGUAGAAUGACAAAACAGGAGCAUUCGCUCAAUUUGUUGAUAACUUUCCAAGAUACAGUUUUUAUUUUCGACUGAAUUCUGCUUUGAGUAUCGGCAGACAUCAUUGUUUACGUAAAUAGGCAUCAAUUUUAGUCUGAGGUUAUUAAACAUCGCCUUAUUGGAUCAAGUAUGAUAAGUCCUUUUUAUGUUGUCCAACGGGCUGAUCAAUGAUAUAAAUUUGUAGUCCAUAUAGUUAUAUAUAUUGUGUGUGAACGGUCAACAGGGGAUGUUUACUCCUCCUAGACACCAGUGGUUGCCCUUCUCUUAAUUUUGUUUUCUGUAUAGAGUUUUGAGAUUCAUCGCUACUCGUUAUCGUUACUCGUUCAUGAUAUAGAUUUAACUUUGGGCAGGACCGGGAAUCGAACCGGGACCCCUGCAAUACUAGUCACGUGCUCUAACACUGGGCUAUCCAGGCCGAUAUCCACGAUCCAUACACAUGUAUCCCUAACUAAUGCUAUUCAUAAGUUCAAUGCACACAUAGAGGUUCACCAGUUUAAUAAACAAACACAAUGAAACUUUGGUCAGACAAUAAACUUAGGAAACAAUAAAAUCCUGAAAUCUUUCUUCGUCCUCUUCAUACAUCUCAUCUUCUAUUCUUUUACAUAAGCAAAUCGACAUGAUCAUACCAAUCAACUGCAAGAGAGAACAAACUUUGAAAACUCCGUGCCAGUAGACCGGUCCACAUCAAAUCGGGAAUUAAUUUGUUUGGUAUUGUACCGGCAAACUGAAUAAAGCACCGUAAAGCAACAUUUUUAACGAGUAUUUAAUUUUGGCAUUAUUAGCGAGAGUGAUGAGUCGCUAAAAUUGGAUAUCGCUAACAAUUUACUUCAUGUUGGAAGUAAUAGCUAUCUUCCUUGGAAUUAUACAGUCGCUAAAAUUAUAUCUCUCGCUAACUAUAUAUACCCAAAAUUUAUGGAAAAUCGUUAAAUUUGUGUCUCAUUAAAAAUACCACUUAUACGGUCUUUUCCCUCGGAAUUAUGAAAUCAUAAUGAUGCAGAUGUUUUAAAUUUGCUUUCACAUAGCGUUAUAGUUUAUUUAUGUGGAAGAGUAAUUAAAUACCUUGUUUAGGAUUGUUCCGGUAAACUAAAUAAAUCCAUGUAUAGUUAUGAAUUGAUAAAGAUGUGAUGAAUUGUGUUGAAUUAGCUUUCAUACAUCGCUAUAAUGUACUCGUGUGGAACCGUAAGUGUAUUAAGGUUGUACGAGCAGUGUUUGUGGUAGAGUUUAACGCGUCUCUUAAUGUUAACAGUUUAUGAAAUACGAUAUGUGAAUAUUCUAUGUUAUACCAACACACACUGCUAAAUUCAGGCUGAAACCAUCACAUUUUUACAUCACUUACAUCCAAUACUACCGAGUGUGGUUGUGCUUCAACUAUUUUUAAUAAAUAUGUAUAUAACAGAC
Molecule: RNA transcript, 3312 nt
Organism: Ostrea edulis (European flat oyster)
Lineage: Eukaryota; Metazoa; Mollusca; Bivalvia; Ostreida; Ostreidae
Gene name: U-scoloptoxin(05)-Cw1a-like
Exons: 3
Source: RefSeq, a predicted model, not a curated record